GUUGGCUCUCAUCGAAGCUGCAGCUGCUUCCCCAUAGCUACUGUGGUCAAAAAGGAGCCCAGAGAGAGAGCCAUGGAAAUAA
Molecule: small nucleolar RNA, 82 nt
Filed under: Dasypus novemcinctus (nine-banded armadillo)
Lineage: Eukaryota; Metazoa; Chordata; Mammalia; Cingulata; Dasypodidae
Source: RNAcentral